CUAAAAGUAAGUUAAAAAAACUUUUGGAUUCAUACUCCAACCUUGAAAUUAUUCCUUUUAGA
This 62-nucleotide transfer RNA is filed under the name Dendrothrips minowai. Its description in RNAcentral is "tRNA-Met". The record is from RNAcentral. Lineage: Eukaryota; Metazoa; Arthropoda; Insecta; Thysanoptera; Thripidae.